RNAcentral lists this long non-coding RNA (1221 nucleotides) under Homo sapiens (human). RNAcentral describes it as "non-protein coding LINC02292:11". The record is from RNAcentral. Lineage: Eukaryota; Metazoa; Chordata; Mammalia; Primates; Hominidae.
UUGUGAUGUCUCAGGGGGCGGUGGGCCGGGUGACGCAACUGGGGGUGGGCCCGUGGGUCCCAGUACCUGGUCCAGGAGGCAGCGUCUCCCUCCCGUCCGGGAUAAGACACCCCCUCCGCGGGUCCCCUGUCCACUCUGGAGAGGCAGCCCCCACUUGGAGGGACCAGGACCCGAGCCCUGCCCAUCCCCGAAUCCUGGGAGCCCUGCGUGGGGAGUGUCGAGGGCCUGGGUCGGGGGGCAAACUAGUGUGGAGCCAACUUUAAUGGAGGACCUAGCAAGUGCCAGGCAGCAUUCUGAGCCCUGGAAUCCGGUGAUGAACAUGACAGACAAGAUUCCUGCCCCCAAGGAGCUGCACCUUAAUAAGUCCCGCAAUGAAGGAGACAGAACAUAAACAGAGGAAAAUACACAAGAUGCCAGCUUGUGAGAAGUGCUAGCAAAAAAAGACACAAGUAUGUCCAGAGAGUCUGAGGUGUAUACAGCUCAUUUCACCAAUGAAAAGGCACUGGCAACAUCUCCUAUGCAGAUUAGCCGCAGCCUCCGGUGCCGAUUUAGCAAAGCCAUGAUUGACCAGAUCCGAGGCUCGCUGCCCUGUGGAGCUGCUUCCUAAUUAUGUUACUUCAAGCACCCAUCCCCAGGGUGCAGGUUAAAGUUAACCAGCACACUAAUGUACAUCAAGCAGUGUAGGCGGAGGCGCAGUUCUGAAGACAGUCACCAAUACGCGGCAAAUACCUAUUGUGAGAUCCAUCACCUGCUGGAUGGGCCUGCUCCCUCUACCACUCCCCUCCCACCUGCGCCUGGGUUGGGGAACUGGCCCCUUGCUAACUAGUCUAAUCCCCUUCAGUUGGUCACAAGCCCUGUGGAGGUGGGAAGGAGACAGGACUGGGAAGGCAGUGAGGGAGGGCACGAUGUGACUUCAGGGACAGCAGGAGCCUGAGUCUGGAGUUUGGGCUGCCCUAAUUUGCUGUGUGACCUUGAAAGCCCCUUCCCCUUUUAAGAAUGGGCUCAUCUCUUUUCUAAAGAAGACAUUCCAUGGGAGAGGUGGUGCCAUGGGAGUGUCACCUGGGAGGCUGCAGGCCUGCCCUAGGGCCCAGUCAUUCUGGAGGAAGCCCUUGUGGGCUAGGAGACGGCAGGCUCCGCCUCUGACCUAUUGGUUUCCCUCUGUCUGCCACUGUCCAGAGAUCAGAAUCCUGGGUCCUCUGGCACGGGCAUCCACUCUCACCA